RNAcentral lists this long non-coding RNA (398 nucleotides) under Heterocephalus glaber (naked mole-rat). RNAcentral describes it as "lncRNA (ENSHGLG00100034198.1)". Lineage: Eukaryota; Metazoa; Chordata; Mammalia; Rodentia; Bathyergidae. The record is from RNAcentral.
CCAAGGUAAACAUGGAUGGUGGAUGACCGAGGACGAAAAAGUGGUGCUCCCAGCCGGUGUAGCAGACACACUGCUACAAGAACUGCAUGGGUCCACCCACCUUGGUUUGACUCCAAGACCCUUGAACCCCUCUGGGAGGGACCAUUUCCUGUCAUCCUGGUGACUCCCUCAGCAGUGAAGGUAGCUGGACACUCUGCCUGGAUCCACCACAGCCAUUUAAAGGCAGCACCCCUGGAGGAAGAGACGUCAACAUGGCGGAUCGAUCGGAACACAAAGGACCCCCUCAAGAUAAGAUUGAUCAAAGACUAGUUUGGACAACAUGGGGGUUCUUGGGGCUACUGUUCUUACCAGGCCCAAUGGAAGGGGGAUCUGGAUGCCAGCUGGUGUUGUCCAGCCAC